UCCAGUGCAAAGCAGAUCACAGAAAACCUCCCUUCUCUCGGUUUCUGGUGUCUUUCUUGGUUACACCUCUGUCUGGUUUAGUAAGAUGUCUCUUCCAUGGAUGCUGCCUUUGCUAAUCUUGUCCGUGUCAGGUUUUCUUGGAAUCGCUCAGAAGAUUGAGCAGCAAGAAUCCACCACAGCAUUUAGUGGAAAAGCACACAACCUUAGCUGCACCCUGACUUCUGUUUCUUCUGUAACGAAAAUGAUCCAGUGGUAUCGCCAAUUCCCCGGCCAAGGACCUCAGUAUAUUGCCGGCGCGUAUCCAGGAGAAACUGUUGAAGGCACCGAUCCGAAAAGCACAUUGCACUUUGCUCAUGACAAGAAGUCCAGCGCCCUCGCUCUCCAUCACAUCCUGCUGGACGAUGCUGCCGUGUACUUCUGUGCUCUCGCGGACGCACAGUGUGUGAGGAAAGGACUGUCGCGUGCAGGAACCCCUCACAAAGGCUGAGUGGGGGAGGAGCUCCAGGAGCUGAAAGAGGAGCAGAGCAAAAUCAGCAACAGACAAGAUGCAAACGCUCAU
Non-coding RNA from Pogona vitticeps (central bearded dragon), 559 nucleotides. NCBI's taxonomy places the organism in Eukaryota, Metazoa, Chordata, Lepidosauria, Squamata, Agamidae. The record is from the annotation of a RefSeq genome assembly.